This 267-nucleotide ribosomal RNA is filed under the name uncultured bacterium. RNAcentral's name for it is "partial 16S ribosomal RNA". It matches the Rfam family "Bacterial small subunit ribosomal RNA", at positions 793 to 1055 of the family's 1533-position model. The record is from RNAcentral.
GUCCACGCCGUAAACGAUGUCUACUAGCCGUUGGGAGCCUUGAGCUCUUAGUGGCGCAGCUAACGCACUAAGUAGACCGCCUGGGGAGUACGGUCGCAAGAUUAAAACUCAAAAUGAAAUUGACGGGGGCCCGCACAAGCGGUGGAGCAUGUGGUUUAAUUCGACGCAACGCGAAGAACCUUACCAGGUCUUGACAUCCAGAGAACUUUCCAGAGAUGGAUUGGUGCCUUCGGGGACGCUCUGAGACAGGUGCUGCAUGGCUGUCGU